AGUGAACGCUGGCGGUAGGCCUAACACAUGCAAGUCGAACGGCAGCACAGUAAGAGCUUGCUAUUACGGGUGGCGAGUGGCGGACGGGGGAGGAAUACAUCGGAAUCUACUUUUUCGUGGGGGAUAACGUAGGGAAACUUACGCUAAUACCGCAUACGACCUACGGGUGAAAGCAGGGGAUCUUCGGACCUUGCGCGAUUGAAUGAGCCGAUGUCGGAUUAGCUAGUUGGCGGGGUAAAGGCCCACCAAGUCGACGAUCCGUAGCUGGUCUGAGAGGAUGAUCAGCGACACUGGAACUGAGACACGUGCCAGACUCCUACGGGAAGCAGCAGUAGGGAAUAUUGGACAAUCGGCGCAAACCUGAUCCAGUCAUACCGGGUGGGUGAAGAAGGCCUUCGGGUUGUAAAGCCCUUUUGUUGGGAAAGAAAAGCAGCAGGUUAAUACCCCGCUGUUCUGACGGUACCCAAAGAAUAAGCACCGGCUAACUCCGUG
Molecule: ribosomal RNA, 492 nt
Filed under: uncultured bacterium
Lineage: Bacteria
Description: partial 16S ribosomal RNA
Rfam family: Bacterial small subunit ribosomal RNA
Source: RNAcentral